AAGGGUAUAGCUCAAUGAUAGAGCUCCUACCUAGUGUGCAGGAGGUCCUGGGUUCAAUCCCCAUUACCUCCA
RNAcentral lists this transfer RNA (72 nucleotides) under Camelus bactrianus (Bactrian camel). It matches the Rfam family "tRNA". Rfam says of the family: Transfer RNA (tRNA) molecules are approximately 80 nucleotides in length. Their secondary structure includes four short double-helical elements and three loops (D, anti-codon, and T loops). Further hydrogen bonds mediate the characteristic L-shaped molecular structure. tRNAs have two regions of fundamental functional importance: the anti-codon, which is responsible for specific mRNA codon recognition, and the 3' end, to which the tRNAs corresponding amino acid is attached (by aminoacyl-tRNA synthetases). tRNAs cope with the degeneracy of the genetic code in two manners: having more than one tRNA (with a specific anti-codon) for a particular amino acid; and 'wobble' base-pairing, i.e. permitting non-standard base-pairing at the 3rd anti-codon position. Lineage: Eukaryota; Metazoa; Chordata; Mammalia; Artiodactyla; Camelidae. RNAcentral also lists the same sequence under 2 other names. The record is from Rfam by way of RNAcentral.